GCACAAGCGGUGGAUUAUGUUGUUAAUUCGACGCAACGCGAAGAACCUUACCAGGCCUUGACAUACCGGACAAAACCAUAGAGAUAUGGUGGAGGUUGAAGGAUACAGGUGGUGCAUGGUUGUCGUCAGCUCGUGUCGUGAGAUGUUGGGUUAAGUCCCGCAACGAGCGCAACCCUUAUCAUUAGUUGCUAACAUUCAGUUGAGAACUCUAAUGAGACUGCCAGUGAUAAACUGGAGGAAGGUGGGGAUGACGUCAAAUCAUCAUGCCCCUUAUGACCUGGGUUACACACGUGCUACAAUGGCCGGUACAAAGAGUUGCGAAACUGUGAAGUUAAGCUAAUCUCAUAAAGCCGGUCUCAGUUCGGAUUGUAGUCUGCAACUCGACUACAUGAAGUCGGAAUCGCUAGUAAUCGCGAAUCAGAAUGUCGCGGUGAAUACGUUCUCGAGUCUU
Molecule: ribosomal RNA, 451 nt
Filed under: uncultured Bacillota bacterium
Lineage: Bacteria; Bacillati; Bacillota
Description: bacterial SSU rRNA
Rfam family: Bacterial small subunit ribosomal RNA
Source: RNAcentral